CCCAAAACAAAUUAGUUGAGGGGUUUUAACGUUGAGAAUCCAACAUUUUAGUCAUUUUCUUUUUUAUUGUCUAUUUUGUGAUAAAAAUUUGAAAAUAGUAUAUUCAGUAUAAUUGACCUAUAAGUAAUCUUUUAUAUCCUAAUCUAUUUCCAUAACGAUAAAUAUUAAAACCAAUAUGAAAAGUAUGACUGCAACUCGAUAUCAAAUCAUUGGAAAACUUGAAUGAUACAUUUAUACAUAAGGAAGCUUCGGUGUUCCUUAACUCCAACACCAAUUAAACAUAAUCUCUUCUAUCAGCAUUUUUUCUCUUAACCAAUUUUCCUUUUCUAGUGAUGAGAAGUGCGCCGCCGUCUUAGAUCAUUUUAAUCCACAGAAUUUGUUUCCGUUGCAUUAAAAUUGACAGAUUGAACAACACAAAAUUGACUUUACAAGAAAUCUGCUCCGAUUUUAGUUUGAAAAGCAUAACAAAAUUCUUCAAAACAAAGAAAGAUCUGACAAAAUGGUAAAGUUGAUCUAGAAGGAAAAUUUUACAUGAAGCACACAAAAGAAUCAAAAAGAAUUUCUCCUUCUGAAAGAUUUGUAAGAAGUAUCACUGCUUUGAUAUAUCUUAGUUUUUACUAUUUACUGAUAUGGUUUUUAGUAGUUUUCUAGGUUUUUGUAGUUUUUUAUUUAUGUUUUCUGGUAUUAUAGGUGUUUGGAUGCUAUUGGAGACUUUUGUGAAGCUUUACAUAGAUUUCAAGGGAUUUUUGUGAUAAUUUGAAGCAGUAUGAGCAAAUGGCAGCUGAGGAUAAAUUGAUUGGGAAUUGUUACAUUAAUGGAUCGAUCUAUCCGUCUAUCCCGAACAAUAUGAUCGAUCGAUGGGACUUAUGGAUCAAUCGAUCCGCAACGAGAAGUGAAGAGAUCUAUCAGACAAGAAUUGAAUCAAUUGAUCCCAUUGUUUGAUCGAUUGAUCUGACGCGCAUGAGCUGGACUGAAAUUUUCCUUUUCCUGUUUUGGUUUUUCCUUUUUCCAAAGUAGCCCAUUUUUUAUAUAUAAAGUACACCUUGAAUCAUUCCCAGAGUGUCCACGUCAGAUGACACGUCAUCAAUUCGUGCUCUCUGGAAGCGACACCUGUCCAGUCCGCCAAAACGCAACACUUCAUUUAUUAUGGAUUUACUUGGGCUUUUAACGUUGCUUAUAUCUAUUGUGUUUUCCGGCUGAUACAUUCACAUGUUUUAUGCAAAAAUGGAGUAUUAUAUCUAUGAAUGAAAACCCUAAAUCAAAUUAAGCAAAAAAAAAUGGAGUUCAACUCUCCUCUUCCUUCAGCGGCAGCGACGCCUGAGGUUCUUCGAAAUCUCUGUAACAGUGGGAGUUAUGAGCUAUGCCGGAGCUUCACCGUGGAGUCUUUGUGGCCAGGUUAUUCAGAUGGUGUCCGUCGUAUAUCUGAAUCAUCUUACAUACAAGAAACAUAGGAGCGCAACAAAAGGGUUGCUAGCGAUUAGUAAAAAUAGCGGUGGCUCCAACAAGGAGGCUGCACAUGAAGAAGAAGGGAAUACUCCUCCUUUCCCUAAAAGGGUUGAGAAAGCUGAGAAAAGGUGGUUUUGGACAAGUGUUUGUGGGACGGUGUAUUAGUGGUGGUAAUGAACAAAAUACAUGAGCUAGCAUCUUAAAGUUGCUCUGAAGUUUGAGCAUCGAACCAGCACGGAGUUGAAGAAGACGUGUUCACCCUGAGCGGGAACAUUCCAUCUCGCCGACCACAAAAGAGGACACUGACCUUCCAGAAACAUCUCGAUGCAAGUCACCAGAUGUUCGACGAGUUGCCUAGCACACAAUUUUACAAAGAAAUAUAUCGUUUUAGUCUCCCACCAGGGAUGUCUACGGUGUAAGUUAUCUUUCCUAACUUUCUAAUCUCUUUUCGUUUUUGUUUGAAACAUGUAUAUAUAUUUAUAAAACGAUGGUUUGUAAAUAAGGUUGGAGAUUUCAGUUGUAGAUGGUGCUGCAGCAAACAGGUAAAUAACUCAUUUUAUAAGUUAGUUCAAAGCUUCUCAUAUCACUA
Brassica napus (rape) is the source of this 2035-nucleotide long non-coding RNA. RefSeq lists it as uncharacterized. The record is from RefSeq and is a predicted model, not a curated record. The transcript has 3 exons. NCBI's taxonomy places the organism in Eukaryota, Viridiplantae, Streptophyta, Magnoliopsida, Brassicales, Brassicaceae.